Molecule: long non-coding RNA, 304 nt
Organism: Coffea arabica (coffee)
Lineage: Eukaryota; Viridiplantae; Streptophyta; Magnoliopsida; Gentianales; Rubiaceae
Source: RefSeq, a predicted model, not a curated record
ACGACGUUCGUUUAACGACGGUGCAUGAAACAUCAUUUUCUCACUUGGAAAAUGAACACUUUUGGAAAAGAUUGUAAUAGUUGAAUGACAAGUUGAGCUCAUGUACAUGUAUUUUGAAUAGCUCCUUGAGGGUGAAACCCUAAGUGUUUUGUUUCCUCCAAUGUUUGGUUUGUAAUUGGUUAUUGUACAUGUAUGGAUUAGUUGGAUAUUUUGGUAUGCCGAUUUGGCUUGGAAUGUUGGAUUUCAAUGUAUAUAUGCUUGGUUGAUGUUUGGCUGAACUUUGAAUCGAUUUGGAUUUCAAACG